UGACCUCAAAUCGGGUGAGACUACCCGCUGAACUUAAGCAUAUCAAUAA
Molecule: ribosomal RNA, 49 nt
Filed under: Lactarius angustizonatus
Lineage: Eukaryota; Fungi; Basidiomycota; Agaricomycetes; Russulales; Russulaceae
Also listed under: 1 other name
Description: partial 28S ribosomal RNA
Source: RNAcentral